This 253-nucleotide ribosomal RNA is filed under the name uncultured bacterium. RNAcentral's name for it is "partial 16S ribosomal RNA". It matches the Rfam family "Bacterial small subunit ribosomal RNA", at positions 524 to 776 of the family's 1533-position model. The record is from RNAcentral.
UACGGAGGAUGCGAGCGUUAUCCGGAAUCAUUGGGUUUAAAGGGUGCGUAGGCUGGUAUUUAAGUCAGUGGUGAAAUUUUCGUGCUUAACAUGAGAGCUGCCAUUGAUACUGGAUACCUUAAGUGUAUUUGAUGUGGGCGGAAUGUGUUGUGUAGCGGUGAAAUGCAUAGAUAUGACACAGAACACCGAUAGCGAAGGCAGCUCACAAAGUUACAACUGACGCUGAUGCACGAAAGCGUGGGGAUCAAACAGG